RNAcentral lists this long non-coding RNA (230 nucleotides) under Musa acuminata (dwarf banana). RNAcentral describes it as "long non-coding RNA (MACU_LNC004581)". Lineage: Eukaryota; Viridiplantae; Streptophyta; Magnoliopsida; Zingiberales; Musaceae. The record is from RNAcentral.
GUUUUGAUAUUAUACUUGGUAUGGAUUGACUAUCUUCCUAUCAUACCAGUAUGGAUUGGUAUAUAACAAAUGAUCACUUUUUGCAUAUUAGAUCAGCCCAUCCUUUAUUUUGAAAGUAUUGAACAUGAUUUAUCUCCUUGCCUAAUGUAUCCCAGGAUGAUUUGCCUGAAUGACCUCCAAAACGUGACUUUGCUUUUGAUUUGGUCUUUGGGACAAUCCCAAUAUCUAAG